RNAcentral lists this long non-coding RNA (287 nucleotides) under Brassica napus (rape). Its description in RNAcentral is "long non-coding RNA (BNAP_LNC026752)". Lineage: Eukaryota; Viridiplantae; Streptophyta; Magnoliopsida; Brassicales; Brassicaceae. The record is from RNAcentral.
UGGGGGUUUACAUCCAGCCACAUGGAAGACCCAUUCAAACUUAGUCUUUAUGAGUUUGACCAUGUCAUUAUGUAGAGUAUCUUUGUAAUCAAUUCUCCCUUUGACUCCACCUUGUAUAAACCACUAUAUAUAGUGGUGUAAGCAAUAAGAAAUAGACAACACAUUCCCACAAAUCUUCUUUCAAAUCUCAACAAUGUACUUAUUAUUACGUCUCAAUAUUUUUUUUCUCAAAAAAUUUGCAGGUGGCCUUUGGAAAAACAUACAUUCAACCUCUUAUUUUAAGAGUG